This 501-nucleotide ribosomal RNA is filed under the name uncultured bacterium. RNAcentral describes it as "bacterial SSU rRNA". It matches the Rfam family "Bacterial small subunit ribosomal RNA", at positions 32 to 508 of the family's 1533-position model. The record is from RNAcentral.
AAUCAACGCUGGCGGCGUGCCUAAUACAUGCAAGUCGAACGCGAAAGUCCCGCAAGGGGCAAGUAGAGUGGCAAACGAGUGAGUAACGCGUGGGCGACCUACCUUCGAGUGGGGGAUAACCUUCCGAAAGGAGGGCUAAUACCGCAUGACAUCCCGUGUUUGGAUACACGGACAUCAAAGUCGGGGAUCGCAAGACCUGACGCUUGGAGAGGGGCCUGCGUCCGAUUAGCUAGUUGGUGGGGUAACGGCCCACCAAGGCUUCGAUCGGUAUCCGGCCUGAGAGGGCGGACGGACACACUGGGACUGAGACACGGCCCAGACUCCUACGGGAGGCAGCAGUAGGGAAUUGUUCGCAAUGGGCGCAAGCCUGACGACGCAACGCCGCGUGGAGGAUGAAGACCUUCGGGUCGUAAACUCCUUUCGACCGAGAUGAACACUCACCGACCUAAUACGUCGGUGAGCUGACAGUAUCGAGGGAAGAAGCCCCGGCUAACUCCGUGC